GCCGACAGUGCCUGUGGCUCUCCGGAACAAUAAACCCCCGGCUCCGGUGAUGUGGGCCAGACCGGACCUACAGAGGCGGCACCGCGACCCCUCACUCAACCCGCCUGGCGGCCGGGAGCAGCGUGACCCGGCCUGCUACCGUGUUACAGCUGGCGACUGACAAACAGCAGGCGACGUCGGGAGAACUCCCCGAGACGGCCGAGACAUCAGCCUUCUUGCUCCACGGCCCUGUAGGACCUGCCCGCCGGGAGCCCCGGAGUCCGCGGCAGCGCCGAGGGCCCCUCCCCCAGGUCUCUGGGCUCUGAGGCUCAUCCAUGGAAUACCAAUCCUUUUUCUUAGUGUUCACAUUGGAUUUUUCUGUUAAAAAUAGAUUGUUGGAGUUGGCUAACAAGUUGACGACUUCCAGUCAAGCACUCUCUUCUGUAAAGUCUCUUUUGUAAGCUCCUACAAGCAGCUAUUUCACUGGACUUGAAAGAACUGAUUAAAAAGAACCACACACUGUAACUCUCAAGCA
This is a long non-coding RNA of Cercocebus atys (sooty mangabey), 514 nucleotides long. RefSeq lists it as uncharacterized. Lineage: Eukaryota; Metazoa; Chordata; Mammalia; Primates; Cercopithecidae. The transcript has 2 exons. The record is from RefSeq and is a predicted model, not a curated record.